AAACCUGUCAAUGAGCUCCAAAUUAAGGAAUGCAUCCUUUGGUCCCUCAGCUUCCGACUUAGACCACACAGUUCCACCGAAAAAUGGUGCCAAAAGCACAUAACCCCUGACAUGAACAGGACCCAACUCUGGUGAACCAACCUCCAGCCGGACAGCCAAAUGAUGAGCAAUAUUCCCACCGGCAGAAUCACCAGAAAUGAACACCUUCCCAAAAUCAGCCACCUCAGUCAGCCAUGUAUCCGCCUCCUCAGAAACCGCCUGACCUUGAAGCCAUUUCACAGCCAAGAACCCAUCUUCAAUGGCCGCCGGAAGCCUGUUUUCCGGAGCCAAACGGUAGUCUGGCGAAACAAUCACAGCUUGAAGAUCCAAACAAAGCUUGAAACAAUAGUUUUGACAAUUAGGCCAAGUUCGAGACCCAAUACAAAACCCACCACCGUGGAUAUAGUAGAAGAUCGGAAGCUUGGUCGAAGAAGAAGAAAAAGCUGGCUUGUAGAGGCGAAGGUGAAGAUUAUUCACAGGAUCAAAGAUAAUAUCUUUCCACAGAACAGAGCC
RNAcentral lists this unclassified non-coding RNA (552 nucleotides) under Hevea brasiliensis (rubber tree). Lineage: Eukaryota; Viridiplantae; Streptophyta; Magnoliopsida; Malpighiales; Euphorbiaceae. The record is from RNAcentral.